GGAUCAUCUGAUGAGAAAACUGCAACAAAAUGACAUCUCAUGAUUUGUUGUAUUUAAGUCUGAUGAUC
Molecule: small nucleolar RNA, 68 nt
Filed under: Nelumbo nucifera (sacred lotus)
Lineage: Eukaryota; Viridiplantae; Streptophyta; Magnoliopsida; Proteales; Nelumbonaceae
Description: Small nucleolar RNA Z199
Rfam family: Small nucleolar RNA Z199
About the family: snoZ199 is a C/D box small nucleolar RNA, which acts as a methylation guide RNA for sites on 18S and 25S rRNA. Rice snoZ199 is reported to be homologous to Arabidopsis snoR13.
Source: Rfam by way of RNAcentral